Molecule: long non-coding RNA, 997 nt
Organism: Oreochromis aureus
Lineage: Eukaryota; Metazoa; Chordata; Actinopteri; Cichliformes; Cichlidae
Exons: 3
Source: RefSeq, a predicted model, not a curated record
GUUUGGAAAGAGUUCCAGCUUCAUCACGGAGUUUCUCUCGGUUUGUGGGCUCAUCUAAAGCUGAUCAGCAGGAGGAGAAGAGUCUGACAGAGCAACAGGUGAACAAUUUCAGCUGUUUGGACUCAGCUCAACUGCUACAGUGGAAAAAAAUGUCAUCAACACAAAAGGACCAACAUGGAGCGAGACGUCAGCGCUCUCAGGAGGCCGACAAACCUCACAGAAGAAAGAGAGAGAAAACAUACAGCUGUGAUGAGUGUGGGAAGUCUUUUACCCGUCCUGAAAGCUUAAAAAGACACCAACUCAUACACAGUGGAGUUAAAGCACACAGCUGUGAGUUGUGUGGAAAGUCUUUUACACAGAGUGCAUACUUAAAAACACACCAACUCAUCCACAGUGGAGUUAAAGCAUACAGCUGUGAGUUGUGUGGAAAGUCUUUUACCCUUACUCAAACCUUAAAACAACAUCAACUCAUCCACAGCGGAGUUAAAGGGUACAGCUGUGAGUUGUGUGGAAAGUCUUUUAACCGGGCUGGAAGCUUAAAAACACACCAACUCAUCCACAGUGGAGUUAAAGCAUACAGCUGUGAGUUGUGUGAAAAGUCUUUUACCCAUGCUGAAAGCUUAAAAACACACCAACUCAUCCACAGUGGAGUUAAAGCGUACAGCUGUGAGUUGUGUGGACAGUCUUUUACCCAGGCUGGAAGCUUAAAAGCACACCAACAUGUUCACAGUGGAGUUAAGCCGUAUACUUGUGAUGAAUGUGGAAAGUCUUUUACCCAGGUUGGAAGCUUAAAAAGACACCAACUCAUCCACAGUGCAGUUAAAGCGUACAGCUGUGACUUCUGCGGACAGGCUUUUCACCGUCCUGAAAGCCUAAAAAGACACCAACUCAUACACAGUGGAGUUAAAAAGUACAGCUGUGAGUUGUGUGGAAAGUCUUUUACUUUAUAUCAAAAUUUCAAAAGACACCAACUCAUCCACAGUGGAGUCAAAGAAUA